GGGGCUGUGGCCCAGUGGUAGAGUGCUCACCUAGCAUGUGUGAGACAUUGGGUUCAAACCUCAGCACCA
RNAcentral lists this transfer RNA (69 nucleotides) under Ictidomys tridecemlineatus (thirteen-lined ground squirrel). Its description in RNAcentral is "Spermophilus tridecemlineatus (thirteen-lined ground squirrel) tRNA". It matches the Rfam family "tRNA". Rfam says of the family: Transfer RNA (tRNA) molecules are approximately 80 nucleotides in length. Lineage: Eukaryota; Metazoa; Chordata; Mammalia; Rodentia; Sciuridae. The record is from Rfam by way of RNAcentral. RNAcentral also lists the same sequence under 1 other name.